RNAcentral lists this microRNA precursor (126 nucleotides) under Myotis lucifugus (little brown bat). RNAcentral describes it as "mir-9193 microRNA precursor family". It matches the Rfam family "mir-9193 microRNA precursor family". The record is from Rfam by way of RNAcentral. Lineage: Eukaryota; Metazoa; Chordata; Mammalia; Chiroptera; Vespertilionidae.
CAUGCACCGGUGGGGUCCCUUGGCCUGGCCUGCACCCUCUCACAAUCCAGGACCCCUUAAGGAUGUUGGAGAGCCGGUAUCAGCCAGAUCCCUGCAGGCCAGGCCAAGGGACCCCACCAGUGCACG